CGUCCGCGAGGCUCCCGGGCCCGCCGGCGUCUGUGGGGAACUGGGGCGCUGGUCGGUGCGCGGGCUGGGACGCUAAGUCAUGAGGAAUUAAACUGGGAAACCUGGCGUGGGUCCAGGCGCCUUCCAGGAGGCAUCCGGCGCGGCCCGGACGUGCUUCUACCCAGAACCACCCCCUCCAGGCCGGGGUGCACUUAACGGGGCUAUACAAAGAGUCUGACACUGUUAUUGCCCAUCUGAACUCGUCAACUGAGAAGGAAAGAGAUGGUUUAUGCUGUGAAUAAAAUACAGUUGUGCUGUGAUGUAAAUCCCCUCAUCCUGGAGCAGCUGAGCAAGGUCUAAGGCAGGAAGAACCUUCAAGCAGGUCAUGGCUGCUCAACUCUGCCUGGCAGUGGCAAGGGCCAGGGCCAGUGACUGAAGCAACAAACUGCCAGAUGACUGCAGCUCAAGCCAAUGCACAAAGCCACUGCAACAAGAGAGGAAAUUCUUCCAUUUCCAAGUGUGUCGAUUUCUCCCCAUCAAGGAAAACAGCUAAGGCAAUGUGUUGAUAUUUUCUUUGACCAAGUCAUCAGGAGUCACAUAGACAUACAGCACUCAAGAAGUGGCUGUAACUAAAGGCACAUCUCGUUCAUCUACAACCCUUGUAAUCCCAACCUUUGUCUGAUGCACAAACCCUUCCCUAGUUCUCCCCACCACCACCACUGCACCUCCAAGUGGGGACAACGAAUUGUUUCAUUUGCAUGUGGUUUUUCUCAUGAAAAAUAUCAUUAACAUGAGACAGCCCCAAACCAAGGAAACCAGAAGUGGGGUUUGUGCUUGGUCUUACUGAGAGCUUUCCCUACUUGACCAGACCCCAGCAUUGUUCUAGAUUUGUCUCUUGUGGGCUACAGGAAUGCAAACAUUUUGUAGUUUCCUCUUUUUUGUUUUCUUAAUGGCUUGAUGAGCCACACAUGUUUCUCUAAAUGCAUGAUUUUAAAUUCACACAAUUUCUGCCAACUAAACUUAAUGCAUUCUCCUCCUCUUCUAAUCAAUAAGGGCUAUCAGAAUGUUUUGGGUGAAGAUGAGCGGAAGGUAAGAAAUUACAUACUGUGGGCCAGGUUUGGUGACUCACAUCUGUAACCCCAGCACUUUGAGAGACCAAGGCAUGCAGAUCGCUUGAGGCCAGGAGUUCAAGACCAGCCUGGCCAACAUGGCGAAAUCCUAUCUGUACUAAAAAUACAAAAAUUACCCAGGCGUGAUGGCUCAUGCCUGUAGUCCCAGCCACUCAGGAGGCUAAGGCAAGAGAAUCACCUGAACCCAGGAAGUGGAGUUUGCAGUGAGCUGAGAUCACGCCACUGGACUCCAGCCUGGGCAACAGAGUGAGACUCUGUCUCAAAAAAAAAAAAAAAUUACAUACUGUCGAGUAUGACCUAAAAACAUAGAGAGACUAUAUUUCAAUAGUAUGACAGGAUUAUGUUAGCUGCUAAUAACAGAACCCAAAAUAACAAUAGAUUAAAUAAAAGAUUAGUAUCCCAGGUAAAAGUCUAGAGGUAGGAAUUCUAGGACUAAGUGAAGGUUCUGCUCAGUGAAGUCCUCAGGGACACAGGCACCUUCAGCUCAUAACUCUAUCAUCCCUGGAGGGUACUUAAGGGUCCAGGAUGGCAGCCAAAAGUCGUACCUACGUUUUAAACAGCAGGGUGCUGGAAGGCAUAAAGAAAAAGCCAGAGGCACACGCCUGUUCUCACUUAAGGAAAAUUCCUGGAAACUGCCACAAUACACCUUCGCUUACAUCCCAUUGAUCAAAACGUGGAUGCAAAGCCACACCUUACUGUGGGGUACAGGGAAAAAAAACUUUUUUUGACAAUCAUGAGUUCAUUAACAGAAUUCAGGGAUCUCUUAAUACAGAAGCAAGGGAGAACAGCUGUUGGGGGACCACCGGAAGUCUCUGCUCUAAAGAACAAUGUAAAUACCUGGUGGUAGACUAACACUGAUGGCCUACAAUGAAUCACACCUACUGACAUUCAUGCCUUUGUGCAGAGUUCCACACUGAUGCUGGGCUUGGCCUUGUGACUUGUUUGGCCAAUAGGAUCUCAGCAAGCACCUUGAUAAGUGCUUGUGCAUUAGGGCUUGCUGUCCUGAAAUCCAGGUGCCAUGUAAGAAGUGUGGGUUAGUCCCUAUGAAGAUGACAGACCACAUGGAGAAAGAGGCUGAGCCUAUACCCACCCACCUACCAGAGAAGAUCAGCAGAAGAACCAGUGAAUCAUUAUUGCUUUAGUCAUUAAUUUGGGGGCAAUUUGUUAUACAGCGAUAGAUAAGUGGUACAGUACAUAGACAAAUUUCUGCAGUUCAUCGAGCAUUAGCACCAAAUAAGUAUACAACAGUGUUUGGAGCACUAAAGAGAGUAUAAAAUAUUGCUUAAAAUUGUUUCCUUGGCCUCAUGAAACAGAAAUCGGCUCUGAUUAGCAACCAAAAAAUGAGAAUUUAUUGGAAGA
Molecule: long non-coding RNA, 2468 nt
Filed under: Homo sapiens (human)
Lineage: Eukaryota; Metazoa; Chordata; Mammalia; Primates; Hominidae
Description: non-protein coding RB1-DT:14
Source: RNAcentral